AACAGCUCUAUAGCACUGGUGGAUUUCAUUGCUUUUUUUUUUUUUAAGAGAGAGUUGUUUCUAUAAAACUUGCCAAAGGAUUUGAAAGAACAAACCCUAGGUUGGGAGGGUAGAUUGUGAUUUAUUUUGGAGGAGGAGGAAGAGAUCUCCUAUUCCUCUUUCUCAGUGGAAGAUGCUUGGAUAAUAACCUCCCUUAGAAGUCUGAAUGCUUGGUCCAGCAUGGCUGUCUAUGCUCUCACAGGUUUCUCGCUAGUCAGCCUGCUUAGUUUUGGCUAUUUGUCCUGGGAUUGGAUGAAACCCAGCUUGGUAACGGAUGUUUCCAUGGACCCAAUGGAGAAAUCACUCCCUCCUGCCUUUUCCAAGCCACCUCACAUCAUCUUCAUUCUGACUGAUGACCAGGGGUACCAUGAUAUUGGGUACCAUGACUCAGACAUACAGACACCAAUGCUAGACAGGCUAGCAGCAGAAGGAGUUAAACUGGAGAAUUAUUACAUCCAGCCCAUCUGUACCCCAUCAAGGAGCCAACUUAUAACGGGCAGGUACCAGAUCCACACGGGCCUUCAGCACUCCAUCAUCCGGCCCCGGCAGCCCAACUGCCUGCCCCUGGAUCAGGUCACGCUGCCCCAAAAGCUGCAGGAAGCCGGCUACUCGACGCACAUGGUGGGCAAGUGGCACCUUGGCUUCUACAAAAAGGAAUGCCUGCCCACCCGCCGAGGCUUCGACACCUUUCUGGGCUCCCUGACGGGCAAUGUGGAUUACUACACCUACGACAACUGCGAUGGACCCGGCGUCUGUGGCUAUGAUCUGCACGAAGGGGAGAACGUAGCGUGGGACCAGAGUGGGAAGUACUCAACCUUCCUCUAUGCCCAGCGAGUGAGCAAGAUCCUGGCCACCCAUAACCCCAAGGAGCCCAUCUUUAUCUAUGUGGCGUUCCAAGCCGUGCACACGCCCCUGCAGUCCCCCAAAGAGUACAUCUACCGCUACCGCUCCAUGGGCAACGUGGCUCGGCGCAAAUACGCCGCGAUGGUGACGUGUAUGGACGAGGCCGUGAGGAACAUCACCUGGGCACUCAAGAAGUUUGGUUACUAUGACAACAGCGUGAUCGUGUUCUCCACAGACAACGGCGGGCAGACAUUUUCCGGGGGAAGCAACUGGCCUCUGCGAGGCCGCAAAGGGACCUACUGGGAAGGCGGGGUCCGCGGCAUUGGCUUUGUCCACAGCCCCCUGAUCAAACGCAAGCGCCGGACCAGCUGGGCCCUGGUCCACAUCACAGACUGGUACCCUACGCUGGUGACCCUGGCAGGGGGCAACGUGUCUGAAGCCGAGGGCCUGGAUGGGUACAACGUGUGGCCGGCCAUCAGUGAGGGCAAGGAGUCCCCGCGCACCGAAAUCCUACACAACAUCGACCCCCUCUACAACCACGCCAAGCACGGCUCCCUGGAGGGCGGCUUUGGCAUAUGGAACACAGCUGUGCAGGCCUCCAUACGGGUGAGGGAAUGGAAGCUGCUGACUGGUGACCCUGGCUACAGCGACUGGAUCCCGCCUCAGAUGUUGACCAACUUCCCAGGGAGCUGGUGGAACCUGGAGCGGCUGACGGACAGCGUGCGCAAAUCCGUCUGGCUCUUCAACAUCACGGCCGACCCCUACGAGCGCGAUGACCUGUCAGACCAGCGCCCGGACGUGGUCAGGGCUCUCUUGAAGAGGCUGGCCCAUUACAACCGGACUGCGAUCCCGGUUAGGUACCCGGCCGAGAACCCCCGGGCCCACCCGGACUUCAACGGUGGUGCCUGGGGGCCAUGGGCCAGUGAGGAGGAAGCGGAGGAUUGGGAGGGAGGGGGUGGGCUGCUGAGAAAUAAAAACAAGAAGAAGAAGUGUAAGAUCUGCAAGCUGCGCUCCUUUUUCCGGAAGCUGAACACCAGGCUGAUGUCAAACCGCAUCUGAUGGGGCUGCCGCAGAGCUCCAGAUGCAGCUGCUCAAGGUGGAUGUUCCAAAUGGCCAGGACAAUGGGAGGGAGAGAGGCAGAUGGCCACAGAGACAGCAGCGCCCUCUCACUUUCCCUUGUCCCAGUGGACACAUGCACCGGGCCAGCCACGCACAACAGCCUCCAGAUGUCUUUUCCUCCGGUCUCCCCGAGAUUGAGCAACCGGUAGGGAUAGCCAUCCGGUCUGCCUGGAGCAGGUGUCCAGGUUAGGGUGGCCGAGGGAGAGUGACGGGGGUCCUGCAAUCCUGUUGAGUGGAUGUUACAUCGGUCGCAGGUUGUCGAACUGUCCAGCCCGUUCCAGUGCAAAAGAAUGAAACUUGUCUUAAGCGAUCAACCCAGGGACCAGUUCAAACGCCCCAUCCUAGGAGCAAAGCUUUAAACGCAGCUCAAACCCAGGGUACUUGAAGCUGCAUGGGGAUGUCUUCAUGUGGUUCAUAUGAGGACGGCUGGCCUGCUGAAGGCUGCUUCAGGACAGUUUUCCCUGGUUGUAUCUCUAUAAAAUGUGCUGUCACCUUAUGGAAUCCUAGUGAGUGUGCCACAUCAUGCGCCCCUGCUCUGGGAAAACAGCCUAGGGUGACCAGACAGCAAGUGUGAAAAAUCAGGACGGGGGUGGGGAGUAAUAGGAGCCUAUAUAAGAAAAAGAUCCCAAAAUCGGGACUGUCCCUAUAAAAUCGGGACAUCUGGUCACCCUAAAACAGCCUGUGCGUCCUCACUCAGCUCCGGCCACAGCUUUUUCCUGCUGAAGACUUUACGGCAGGUGGUAGCGCGGAGAAGGCGAGGGGACUUAUUUUUAUGUUGAAGGUCCCUGGCUCAGAGACUAGGCAGAGUCUGGGACAGCAAGAGAAUACUAUCCCUAAUGGACACAAAGGCAAACAGACUGUAUAUAGGCCUGGAUCAGAGUAGCCCUGAGGUGUAUUGGAGACACGUUUGCACUGAGAACUUGUGGGGCGUUAGCUGUUUCAAUAUAAAGCAACCCCAGUUUACACUCAUCUAUUGUACAGACUCAUGCAUGUACCACACACGUGGACAUGUAUGUGUGGACUCACUUACACGCCCCCCCCCAACCACAAUGGGUUUGAAAGAAGGCAGCUCCCUGAUUCUCAGCUUCCAGGGGUGUCCUCUGCGAGAUAGUCACCCCCUGCCCCACCUUUGCAGGGACAGCGACACAGCAGAGCAGCUUGCCUCAUGGCCUUGCUACCAUGUUGAUGCCAGCUCUGGAACAGAGGACCAGGUCUCUCGGACACUUGCUCUGCGCGGUCUGUUUUCCAGGGUGUGCAUGGAUUCCCAGGGGAUCCACAAGGAGCUGGUGGCAAACGCAGUGCAGCUUGGCGCCGGGGAUGUAAGGAGGGAUCAGCGUGUAGUAACACCUUGCUGGGCUGCAAACCGCCGGCGUCUCUUUUGUUUGUUCCCGGAGCAGUUCCUUACUCAACACACUCCGAUGAUGUGUUUGCAACAAACAGGCACCCACUGCUUCCCUGGCUGCCGAGUGAGUCUCCAUGAUUGCUCAGUCCUGCCAGCAAGGAGGGGACACCAUACCACCCUCCUUCCUUGGGAAUUUAACUGAGGAGAUCAUCCGAGGCCAGUCCUCUCUGAGCGCGACAGGGUGCAAAUCGCUGGUCCUCCACUUCUGCUUCCUUUUACUGCUGACCUUUCUGUGGCGUGUGUGUGAGAGAGUGUGUGCCCGUGUGUGCCACGGAGGGGGGCUGGCCAGGAAGAAAGAGGGUGCGAUGGGACAGGCCAGUGCAAACUGCUGGAGGACAGCUCAGCGGAAACAAAACAACCCACAAAAACCACGGGAAGAAAGGAGGGGUCUCAGCCUGAAAAAAUAGGCCCCUGGACUGCUUUGGCUGAAAGGUGAGGCCCUCCUUGUCAUACUCCACCUCCUCCCCUGUCUGGCUCUAGCUCUAAGAAAGUCCGUGGGUGAGAUUUAGCUAAGCCCACAGCCGCUCUACUUCUGCUUUGUCAAUAGUGGCCAUGAGGAGCUGCCCACACGCCAAGGAGAUCUGUUUGCACAGAUAUGCUGCGAUCACUCUCUUGUAAAGCUGCAGAAGCCAAAGUAUAUUUAAAACAUCAAGCCCUAGGAGCCGAGUGACAGCCAGGUUCCCACGGAGGAAGCCGGUCAGUGAGCAGCGUCUCGGCAGGCACCAGCUUUGGCACAGGAGGACUAGAGUGCUGGGAAGGGAGAGCUCAGCAUUACGGCAUCUGCCUCUCCUUGGCCAAGUCUCCCUCUCCUCGUUGACGUUCCCGCCGAGACCCAGCAGCAUCGGGCUCCUUUUUGGACUGGCUGUUCUCUCCGUCACUGAAGCGGGGAUUUGGAAGGCUGCAAAGAUGAGAUGCGGGAGGCAGCUGUCUCUAAGCACUGCUCCUUUCUCCCCCUCUUCCGCCCCAUAAAGGCCACUUGGUUGGGAAAUUGCAAGGAAGUUAGAGAGGACUUAGCAAAAUACAGGGUUUCAAAGCAAAAUGGGCCUGUUUGUUCCUCAUGACAGUUACCCCCAGCAUUCCCCAGGAUUCACUGCAGCAGCCAAGUCUCCUAUUGGUCCUUAGCAUUAGUGGUGGUGAUGCUGUCGCUGUUGUUUGCCAUGUCUGGAAUUGCCAGUGUUGCUAGCAUCCUUUGUCUCCAGCUGGGCCCAGCCACCUACCCCCCGCUGUCUCUUACUCAUUCGCCUCCAUUUUGUUCUAGG
Mauremys reevesii (Reeves's turtle) is the source of this 4662-nucleotide RNA transcript. It is a transcript of the gene named arylsulfatase family member I, with no coding region annotated. The transcript is spliced from 3 exons. Lineage: Eukaryota; Metazoa; Chordata; Testudines; Geoemydidae. The record is from RefSeq and is a predicted model, not a curated record.